AAUUUUAUAAUUUUAAGUUAAAAAGAAUUUGAAUUGCGAAAAUCGAUUGAAUUUAGAAAACGAUCCUAUUCGGUUUUGGAUUCGAAUCCUAAAACUAAACUCCUAAUUCUAGCCCAAUUGGAAAAGCCCAAAUAAUAAGACCCAAAACACUUUACUCCUUCCUUCUCUUUCAAUUCACGUAAAAAAGGCCAAAAACAAAAAUACACCAAAACCCUUUCUCUACUCCAAGUUCACGUGAAUUGCUUCUCAAACCUCCUCCUUGCUUCACGUUAACCUCUGCGCCGUCACCUUCAGCCACCUGACCACCGCCGGCACUCCUCCCUCCUCCGCCGUCCGGUAAGCUUCCCCUCCCUUCUCACCUUUCUUUCUCCCUUUCGCGUUCUUGCUAUCCUCCUCACGAACUCUCUGUUUUGCGAAGCACCACCAGCCACCAUCACCUUGCCGCCCUGCCGCCCUGCUCUUAGCCACCACCUAAUCGCGCCGCCGAUCCUCCCAACUGCCCGGUAAUGCUUGUCCUUCCUUUUCUCUUUCGUUCUCCUUUUUUUUUCUAUGUUAGUUCGUGAACUCCUCCUCAUUCGUGCUCUGUUCAUUGCGGAAGCAACCACCAUUCGCCAGCCGCAGCCACCACCUCGCCCAGCCGCGUCGACCCAUCAACCACCAUCGCCGCGUGCAACCUUGUGUCCGCCGGCAGCCUUCAUCUCUCCUCUUCAUUGGGCGGAGAAUUCUCUUUAGGCGACUUUUGAAAGUGUUAAAGUGGCCUAUCAGUUUGUUUACACAAGUCUCUAAGGAUCAAUAAGCAUUGUCCAUCUGCAGGUUUGAAGAUGUUGCAUCAUUGGGAUCGGGAAUAGAGAGCUUGUAUUUAGUUUUGAUUUGCUAAGUUGACUUGGGUUUGUUUAAUUGGACUUUAAACUUGUCAUACUAUUUAUAUUUCCUUAUGUUCGUUGGUUGAUUUUUGGGACUAAACCUGUAAUCGAUUAUUUAUAAACCUAAAGUUAGUUUUAUGUUUUCCGCUGCAAAAUUCUGAAUAAGCCGUUACGUUUUCACACGGGCGAUAAUGCCUUGAUAAUUCUCUACGUUUUAUAUUAAAAGGUUAUUUUAGA
This is a long non-coding RNA of Spinacia oleracea (spinach), 1100 nucleotides long. RefSeq lists it as uncharacterized. The transcript is spliced from 3 exons. NCBI's taxonomy places the organism in Eukaryota, Viridiplantae, Streptophyta, Magnoliopsida, Caryophyllales, Amaranthaceae. The record is from RefSeq and is a predicted model, not a curated record.